GACGAACGCUGGCGGCGUGCUUAACACAUGCAAGUCGAACGAAGAGCGACGGAAGCUUGCUUCUAUCAAUCUUAGUGGCGAACGGGUGAGUAACGCGUAAUCAACCUGCCCUUCAGAGGGGGACAACAGUUGGAAACGACUGCUAAUACCGCAUACGAUCUAACCUCGGCAUCGAGGAUAGAUGAAAGGUGGCCUCUACAUGUAAGCUAUCACUGAAGGAGGGGAUUGCGUCUGAUUAGCUAGUUGGAGGGGUAACGGCCCACCAAGGCGAUGAUCAGUAGCCGGUCUGAGAGGAUGAACGGCCACAUUGGGACUGAGACACGGCCCAGACUCCUACGGGAGGCAGCAGUGGGGAAUCUUCCGAAAUGGACGAAAGUCUGACGGAGCAACGCCGCGUGAGUGAUGACGGCCUUCGGGUUGUAAAGCUCUGUUAAUCGGGACGAAAGGCCUUCUUGCGAAUAGUGAGAAGGAUUGACGGUACCGGAAGAGAAAGCCACGGCUAACUACGUG
RNAcentral lists this ribosomal RNA (510 nucleotides) under uncultured bacterium. RNAcentral's name for it is "partial 16S ribosomal RNA". It matches the Rfam family "Bacterial small subunit ribosomal RNA", at positions 28 to 507 of the family's 1533-position model. The record is from RNAcentral.